UGCCCAGCAACUCCUAUUCCUACCUCCGCGUGGCACCGGUCGGGCUGUGAGCAACCUUAGGGAAGAUCGGGUAACCAAUGCCGGUGGGAACUUUGGUCGUAGGCUGACAGGGAAGG
Aedes albopictus (Asian tiger mosquito) is the source of this 116-nucleotide non-coding RNA. NCBI's taxonomy places the organism in Eukaryota, Metazoa, Arthropoda, Insecta, Diptera, Culicidae. The record is from Rfam.